GAGGAAAGUCCGGGCUUCUCAGGACAGGAUGGUCGAUAACGUCGACCGGCCGCGAGGCCAGGGAAAGUGCAACAGAGAGUAGACCGCCGAACGGUCCGCUUCGGCGGGCGCGUGGUAAGGGUGAAACGGUGCGGUAAGAGCGCACCAGCGAUCGGGGUGACUCGAUCGGCUUGGUAAACCCCAUCCGAAGCUAGACCAAACAGAGCGGAGUUGUUUCAACCGGCGCCCCCGCGGCGUCGGUUGGCACGCAAGGCGGUCCGUCUUGUCAACCACGUUCGGGUAGGUCGCGAUUGAGGCGGCGAGCAAUCGUCGUGCACAGAUAAAUGAUCGUCGUCGAUCCUGUGUCGGGCACAGUUCGCUGUGUGGCACAGUUCGUCACAGAACCCGGCUUA
RNAcentral lists this RNase P RNA (392 nucleotides) under unidentified bacterium SM-A61. RNAcentral describes it as "partial RNAase P". It matches the Rfam family "Bacterial RNase P class A", at positions 43 to 351 of the family's 367-position model. From Rfam's summary of the family: Ribonuclease P (RNase P) is a ubiquitous endoribonuclease, found in archaea, bacteria and eukarya as well as chloroplasts and mitochondria. Its best characterised activity is the generation of mature 5'-ends of tRNAs by cleaving the 5'-leader elements of precursor-tRNAs. Cellular RNase Ps are ribonucleoproteins. The record is from RNAcentral.